Molecule: long non-coding RNA, 1158 nt
Filed under: Homo sapiens (human)
Lineage: Eukaryota; Metazoa; Chordata; Mammalia; Primates; Hominidae
Description: IGF2BP1 associated definitive endoderm lncRNA (IADEN)
Source: RNAcentral
UUUAGGACUCAGCCCACCUGCACCCAGGUGAUUAAAAAGCUUUAUUGCUCACACAAAGCCUGUUGGUGGUCUCUUUACAUGGAUGCACAAGACACUCUUGACUUUGAUUUUCUGCAGUAUGAAUAUGGGACAUGCAUGAAAUUUGGUGCCGUGACUCAGAUCGGGGGACCUCCUUUGGGAGAUCAAUCCCCUGUCCUCCUGAUCUUUACUCCAUGAGAAAGAUCCACCUACAACCUCAAGUCCUCAGACUGACCAGCCCAAGAAACAUCUCACCAAUUUCAAAUCCGGACCCUACUGAAAAUCAGACUGUUCAACUCACCUGGCAGCCACUCCCAGAGCCCCUGGAACUCUGGCCCAAGGCUCUCUGACUGACUCCUUCCCAGAUCUUCUCAGCUUAGCAGCUGAAGACUGACACUGCCCAAUCGCCUCAGAAGCCUACAGGACCAUCACAGAUGCUCUAGGUAACUCUCACAGUGGAAGACUCAGCCCGCCUGCACCCAGGUGAAAUAAACAGCCAUGUUGCUCACACAAAGCCUGUUUGGUGGUCUCUUCACACGGAUGUGCAUGAAACUACCUACACCCAUACGGAAGGGAACAAAUCAUGAAAAGUAAUGGAAUGCUACAGCCUAGUCAGUUUUGAGAAAAGGCUAACCAACAACAACAACAACAAAUCAUAGUCAUGCUCAGAUUGCACAUGAACAAAAAAAUGUUGGAGAGAAACCAUUGAAAUAACUCACCGGUCCUCUUGUGUUGCUGCUUAUCUGAUUAUCUGAGGUCAAGGGAACUGAGGACAACAAAGGAAAUUAGGUCUUUCAUAGUUCUCAUUAAAUGCUGGAGGAGUCUGACUACUGCUGAGCUGAGCACUUCAGCGGCUUUGGAAAAGGAAGUGUGGUUACUUAUUUCACCACCUUCAUUGUGCUGGAGGAAAUAAGAAAUAGCUCUGAGACUAAUAAUAACAGAAACGGCAUCCACAGCAGCAGAGCCCAGUUGCACUUCCUAAAGGCAGUAUAAAUAAUUAAGUGUCUCUAUAGGCAAGCCACUAGGAAUAAACGAAAAAGAGCUGCAAUUGCUGAUGUGGUUUCACCCCAGUCCUGCCCAUGUUUCUUAACAGGAAAGGGAGUUGCAAUGCCAAUAAUAAAAUCUUAGAGCUGGAAAGAA